Long non-coding RNA from Felis catus (domestic cat), 3159 nucleotides. RefSeq lists it as uncharacterized. The record is from RefSeq and is a predicted model, not a curated record. Lineage: Eukaryota; Metazoa; Chordata; Mammalia; Carnivora; Felidae. The transcript is spliced from 3 exons.
UGGAGCUAAAGCAGCUCUUCAGAAAGACAAUGGAUUUUCUCAGGCAGGCGGAUGGAGGUGCAGGAGGGUUGCUAAGCAAAGUGCAAAUCAAAACAUCAGUCUGUACUGGAAGCUUGAGAGCCAAGAUGAAAGCCAACCCGGGAGACACACGUCAGCCCCAAUAAGAAACUUUCCUGUACUGGCCACUGCUUCUCUUUCUCACCAAAAAAGUCCAGGCCACACAAAAGAGCCAGGGGGAGGGGGGAGGGCACUGAAAAACACAUGAGCAAAUGCACUGCCUCCCAUCGUGGCUGUGUUCGCCUGUAUAAACCAACCAGAGAAAAUAAAAGGGAAAUUUAUCAUCGCCUGCAGCCACAGCUGGGAAAACAUCUGUGGGACAGGGGUGGGCCCCUCCACACUCCCCUCCCUGCACUGAGGUCAGCUGUGGCUGUGACCAGGCCAGAGGAGGAGGCCAGCAUAACAAUACCUGUUUCUCUAGAAACAUGUGCGUGUUUGCUGGGUACAUAGGGGCUGAUCCCGUAGCCCAGAUCCUUGGGGGCAGUGUUCACCGCCUGACCACAGAUCUCAUUCCUGGGCCUUCAUUCCCCACCCACGCCCCGCCGCCCCCGGCUCUCCUCCUGGAGCAAGUCCUCAUGUGUCACCACUCCCUCAUGUAACAAGCCCUUCACUUUGCUUCCUAUGACUAACAAAUUAGGUCCACCGGCCGCCUGGCACUGGAGGUUCUAUUUACAGCUAUCUUUUCAGUUUCCUCUCUGACUAGCCAAACCAGUUCCUCGGGACAUCUCUCUCUCUUCUUCCUUCCCCAGUUAUCCCUUCAUCUGAAAGGCCCUCCCAGCCCUGCUAAGACCCCACCUCAGAGCCUCCUCCCUUGCAGAGAAGCGCUAUUUCCAUGCAUGCCCCUUCUUAUGCUGUAGGACAUUCUGGGACGAAGUUGUGACUUUCCCCUUCCUUCCGUCACUCAGCAAGGACUCCAGAUGCCCACUCUGUGCCAGAUGUUGCUCUGAGCACCGAGGAGAAUGGCAGCAGCAGCCAGGCAGGAACUCGAAGGAGCACUGCUUCACAAAAGGGACGUGAUCACCUGGGUGGUGCUGCUGGUUGGAGGGCAGACCCAUAAGGUGGAAGUCAUGGGGAUCUUAAGGAAGAGCUUCAGAGGCGUGGCAGUGAUACAGGAAGCAAAACACUAGCUGAGAGGGCCAAGGUGUCGAAGGCUCGAGAAGAUGUGAAAUAGCCAUCGUGCGGCGCGGAAGAGCAACCUGGGUAGGAAAAUCCGGAGAAAACUAGCAUUAGAGACGUGACUGGAACACCAGUCGCUUACCUGGAUUAGAUGCGCUGCAAAGACACAGAGCUGCAGCCUCGCGGGGGGCAAACACUGUGCACAGAGACCCAGGAAACAUGAAGCAAGUUCAACUCUGAGCAGACGCAUUAACUGUGCUGUGUUAUCCGCAUCCCCACACACAGUAUUUGGGGUCAUCUACUGCGACUACUUUGGCCUCUCCUUCCAUACGUGUCUGUUAAUUAACCAUGCCUGCUCCUUCACAGAGGCCCCUCACAACAUUGGGGGAAGACAGUCACGCUAUUUUUACAAAAAGGCAGAAGACACCUUCUCAAAUGACCCUCUUAACCACAUUUCAUUGAUUUGGGAACCGCCUCCUCUAAUUUACCAACCGGCCAAAGGCUUUCUAUACCUGGAAUUCGCUCCGCCCAGCCUUGGUAACAGAAAAGUCUGUGGCUGGGUCAGAACCCGACCUUUCAAUCUCAACCACUUCACAGCACAGCAUUCCCCAACGGCACUCCAGGAGACCCUGGUGUGCCCUGACAUGUUAUGUGUGCUCUGUGAACAGAAGGUUGCACGUGCUUGGGAAUCCCUGGGCUAGCUGAGCAGCUGGAUUUACCACCCGGCCUGGCAAUCUUUUCCAUGCUAACCUGAGUGCACAUCUCCAGGGGGUGGGAGCCAUGUCUGGACCCCCCUGUCAUUUACCUGUGAAAUCCUUCUGUUCAGCAGCCUCUCUCUGGGGAAGUUCGCCUUUACAGAAUGAACGCUUUGCCUGUCCCACACUCCUUUCUGGGGGCCUACUUUGUCCUCCUCAACUCCCCUUUUUGAAUGGAUGCCAUACCUACCGCCUGCCCCAACCCCUGGCAAUGGUGGACCCCUUUCUAUCUUCUGCCACUCCCGGUGAUACCACAACUGCUGUUCAUGCCUCAAGCACCUGAGCCCGGCCCUGAUGUUCCUCGUGCUGAGCUUUGCCUGAACCUGAGCAGGGGUGUCACCUGGAGGACAAGUCAAAUCUGGGCUUGUCUGGAAGCCUGUGGGGGAUGACCUGGGAGCCAGUGCAUGAGAGAAAUGAAUGUCUCCUGGGAAAGGGAUAAAGGCCUAAGGGGAGAGACAGGUGUGAGGGCACAGCUGCAGGGCCAGGAGGGAGGGGUGACACCGGGUGGAAUGCAGUGUCUGUCACAGGAGCCUCCAUGGAAGAAUGGAGAACAGAACCAGCACUCUCUCGUCGGGCACUGCUCACAGCCCAAGACGGAGUGGCCAGUGCUGGGUCCAUGGCUUGGGCCAUUUGACUUCUCCCUUUUGAGGAUGACUUAGAUAUGCUUUGCCAUCUUUUCUGGUAAACUGUUCUUUGUGAUCUACGGGAGCUCUUUUAUAUCCCAUGAUUAUCAGUCUUUGACCCUUUUAUAUAUUGCAAAUAGUUAUACACAGUUUCCUUCCAGGCUGCUGCUCGUUUUUAAACUACCUUUAUGGUAUCUUUUUAUACCCUGGAGUUUUAAAUAUUCAUGUAGUCAGUCUCUCAGUCUGACACAGGGUGAAGGCUGAGCAGGGGUCCUUGGGUGCCCCCAACGCUCUGUUUCUGGAUCUCACCCUGGUGAUAUGGGUGAGUUCACUUGGUGAAAAUUCAUGGAGCUGUACACUUGGGACUCGCUCAUUUAUAUAUAUUUCUUAAAUCUGUCAGGUUUUUUUUUUCUUUUACGACUUCUGAGUGUUACGCUUUGUUUAGAAAGCCUUUCACACUAUGAAACUGUGCAUGCUCCUCCUAUAAGUUCUUUUAAUACUUUAAAAGUUGAGCUCUUUAUAUAUAUAUUUUUUAAUUUUUAAUGUUUAUUUAUUUUUGAGAGACAAAACAUGAGCAGGGAGGGGCAGAGAGAGAGGGGGAGACACAG